UGUUUUUGAGUAGUGGCAGAAGCUAUUUUUUAAAAUCUAAAAAAAGUAGCUUUCACCAAAAGCACUUUUGGAACAUUGGCCAAACACAAAGUACAGCUAUAAUAUUAGCAGAAGUGCUUUCGAAAUCGAUUGGCCAAACACAAAAUGCUACUCUUCAGAAGUACUUUUCUGAGAAUCACUUCUGACAAUAGCACUUCUCAAAAUAAGCAGAUUCAGG
Molecule: unclassified non-coding RNA, 217 nt
Filed under: Hevea brasiliensis (rubber tree)
Lineage: Eukaryota; Viridiplantae; Streptophyta; Magnoliopsida; Malpighiales; Euphorbiaceae
Source: RNAcentral